RNAcentral lists this ribosomal RNA (254 nucleotides) under uncultured bacterium. Its description in RNAcentral is "partial 16S ribosomal RNA". It matches the Rfam family "Bacterial small subunit ribosomal RNA", at positions 524 to 776 of the family's 1533-position model. The record is from RNAcentral.
UACGUAGGGUCCAAGCGUUAUCCGGAAUUACUGGGCGUAAAGAGUUGCGUAGGUGGCAAAGUAAGUAGACAGUGAAAUCGUGUGGCUCAACCAUAUAUACAUUGCCUAAACUGCUUAGCUAGAAGAUGAGAGAGGUCGCUAGAAUUCCUAGUGUAGGAGUGAAAUCCGUAGAUAUUAGGAGGAAUACCGAUGGCGUAGGCAGGCGACUGGCUCAUUCUUGACACUAAGGCACGAAAGCGUGGGGAGCAAACGGG